GAUGAACGCUGGCGGCGUGCCUAAUACAUGCAAGUCGAGCGAACGGACGAGAAGCUUGCUUCUCUGAUGUUAGCGGCGGACGGGUGAGUAACACGUGGAUAACCUACCUAUAAGACUGGGAUAACUUCGGGAAACCGGAGCUAAUACCGGAGAAUAUUUUGAACCGCAUGGUUCAAAAGUGAAAGACGGUCUUGCUGGCACGUAUAGAUGGAUCCGCGCUGCAUUAGCUAGUUGGUAAGGUAACGGCUUAUCAAGGCAACGAUGCAUAGCCGACCUGAGAGGGUGAUCGGCCACACUGGAACUGAGACACGGUCCAGACUCCUACGGGAGGCAGCAGUAGGGAAUCUUCCGCAAUGGGCGAAAGCCUUACGGAGCAACGCCGCGUGAGUGAUGAAGGUCUUCGGAUCGUAAAACUCUGUUAUUAGGGAAGAACAUAUGUGUAAGUAACUGUGCACAUCUUGACGGUACCUAAUCAGAAAGCCACGGCUAACUACGUG
RNAcentral lists this ribosomal RNA (497 nucleotides) under uncultured bacterium. Its description in RNAcentral is "partial 16S ribosomal RNA". It matches the Rfam family "Bacterial small subunit ribosomal RNA", at positions 28 to 507 of the family's 1533-position model. The record is from RNAcentral.